GGAGGGUGCAAGCGUUGUCCGGAAUCACUGGGCGUAAAGGGCGCGUAGGCGGCUCAUGAAGGCUGUGGUGAAAGUCCGGGGCUCAACCUCGGAUCGGCCGUGGCGACUCGUGGGCUGGAGCACUGUAGAGGCGGGUGGAAUUCCGGGUGUAGCGGUGGAAUGCGUAGAGAUCCGGAAGAACACCAGUGGCGAAGGCGGCCCGCUGGGCAGUGGCUGACGCUGAGGCGCGACAGCGUGGGGAGCAAACAGGAUUAGAUACCCUGGUAGUCCACGCCGUAAACGAUGGGCACUAGGUGCUUGGGGGAGCGACCCUCUGAGUGCCGGCGCUAACGCAUUAAGUGCCCCGCCUGGGGAGUACGGCCGCAAGGCUG
Molecule: ribosomal RNA, 371 nt
Filed under: uncultured bacterium
Lineage: Bacteria
Description: bacterial SSU rRNA
Rfam family: Bacterial small subunit ribosomal RNA
Source: RNAcentral